This 497-nucleotide ribosomal RNA is filed under the name uncultured bacterium. RNAcentral describes it as "partial 16S ribosomal RNA". It matches the Rfam family "Bacterial small subunit ribosomal RNA", at positions 28 to 507 of the family's 1533-position model. The record is from RNAcentral.
GAUGAACGCUGGCGGCGUGCCUAAUACAUGCAAGUUGAGCGAUGAAGAUUGGUGCUUGCACCAAUUUGAAGAGCAGCGAACGGGUGAGUAACGCGUGGGGAAUCUGCCUUUGAGCGGGGGACAACAUUUGGAAACGAAUGCUAAUACCGCAUAACAACUUUAAACAUAAGUUUGAAGUUUGAAAGAUGCAAUUGCAUCACUCAAAGAUGAUCCCGCGUUGUAUUAGCUAGUUGGUGAGGUAAAGGCUCACCAAGGCGAUGAUACAUAGCCGACCUGAGAGGGUGAUCGGCCACAUUGGGACUGAGACACGGCCCAAACUCCUACAGGAGGCAGCAGUAGUGAAUCUUCGGCCAUGGACGAAAGUCUGACCGAGCAACGCCGCGUGAGUGAAGAAGGUUUUCGGAUCGUAAAACUCUGUUGGUAGAGAAGAACGUUGGUGAGAGUGGAAAGCUCAUCAAGUGACGGUAACUACCCAGAAAGGGACGGCUAACUACGUG